Long non-coding RNA from Impatiens glandulifera, 388 nucleotides. RefSeq lists it as uncharacterized. The record is from RefSeq and is a predicted model, not a curated record. The transcript is spliced from 3 exons. NCBI's taxonomy places the organism in Eukaryota, Viridiplantae, Streptophyta, Magnoliopsida, Ericales, Balsaminaceae.
GAUACAAAUUCGAUUUCCCAUUUCUUAAGACUAACGGAAUUGUGACAAUAGAUGAUAACCGUGUUGGACCGUUGUACAAACAUGUGUUUUCUCCAGAGCUCGGCCCAUCUCUUUCUUUCAUUGGCUUAAACAAUUUUGGUAUCUCAUGUCGAAUAAUUGAGUUACAAGCGAAGUGGAUAGCGAAAAUCUUGUCGGGUUUCGCAGUUUUGCCUUCAAAAGAGGAGAUGAUGGAAGAUGUUAAAGAAUAUUACAAAAGAAUGGAAGAAAGUGGGAUCCCCAAGCACCAUACCCAUCGCCUCCCAUGGAACAAGAGCGAUUAUAUAGAUUGGCUUGCUACCGAAGUCGGGGUACCACCAAUGGAAGAUAGAUUGAAGCAGAUGUUUUAUGA